GAGUUUGAUCUUGGCUCAGAGUGAACGCUGGCGGCAGGCCUAACACAUGCAAGUCGAACGGCAGCGCAGCAGUAGCAAUACUGUGGGCGGCGAGUGGCGGACGGGUGAGGAAUACAUCGGAAUCUACCUUGUCGUGGGGGAUAACGUAGGGAAACUUACGCUAAUACCGCAUACGACCUACGGGUGAAAGCGGCGGACCGCAAGGCGUCGCGCGAUUGGAUGAGCCGAUGUCCGAUUAGCUAGUUGGCGGGGUAAGAGCCCACCAAGGCGACGAUCGGUAGCUGGUCUGAGAGGAUGAUCAGCCACACUGGAACUGAGACACGGUCCAGACUCCUACGGGAGGCAGCAGUGGGGAAUAUUGGACAAUGGGCGCAAGCCUGAUCCAGCCAUGCCGCGUGUGUGAAGAAGGCCUCGGUU
RNAcentral lists this ribosomal RNA (417 nucleotides) under uncultured Gammaproteobacteria bacterium. RNAcentral's name for it is "bacterial SSU rRNA". It matches the Rfam family "Bacterial small subunit ribosomal RNA", at positions 9 to 424 of the family's 1533-position model. Lineage: Bacteria; Pseudomonadati; Pseudomonadota; Gammaproteobacteria. The record is from RNAcentral.